This is a non-coding RNA of Peromyscus leucopus (white-footed mouse), 466 nucleotides long. The record is from the annotation of a RefSeq genome assembly. Lineage: Eukaryota; Metazoa; Chordata; Mammalia; Rodentia; Cricetidae.
GCUCACAUCUCUCUCACAGGAGGCUGACCUCUGAGGAAGAGGAGGUGUAGCCUAGAAGAUGACAAUGUUGGGUCUUCUGUGUCUGGUGACAGCCCUUCCUGGUAUCCUGUCCCAGGUACAGCUUCAGGAGUCAGGACCUGGCCUGGUGAAGCCCUCACAGUCACUGUCUCUCACCUGCUCUGUCACUGGUGAUUCCAUCACCAGUUAUGCCUGGAGCUGGAUCAGGCAGUCCCCAGGGAAGAAGCUGGAGUGGAUGGGGUACAUAAGUUCUGGUGGUAGCACCAGGUACAACCCAUCCCUGCAGAGCCGCAUCUCCAUCACCAGAGAAACAUCCAAGAACCAGUUCUUCCUGCAGCUGAACUCUGUGACCACUGAGGACACAGCCACAUAUUACUGUGCAAGACACAGUGAGGAGACUUCAGCAUGAGUCCAGACAUAAACCUCCCUGCAGAGGAGCUCUGGACCA